GGAAUAUACCGUGACGACAUCAGAAAAUUUAUUAAGGGGGACAGUGGCAUGAAGGGAAGCUUUGCAACUCGAGUAGCUGGGUCUUCUGAUCUUUACAAAGUGAAUAAGCGUAGGCCUUAUCAUGGUAUUAAUUUUGUUAUUGCACAUGAUGGAUUUACACUUCGUGAUCUAGUUUCUUACAAUGUCAAGCACAAUAAUGCCAAUGGAGAAGGUGGAAAUGAUGGAAGCAAUGAUAACUUCAGCUGGAAUUGUGGUUUUGAAGGAGAAACAGAAGAUACAAGCAUUAAUGCUUUACGCGCAAGGCAAAUGAAAAAUUUCCAUUUGGCUUUAAUGACAUCUCAGGGAACACCAAUGAUGUUAAUGGGGGAUGAGUACGGGCAUACUCGUUAUGGAAAUAACAAUAGCUAUGGACAUGAUAAUGCUCUUAACCAUUUCCUUUGGCAACAGUUAGAGGCACGGAAGAGGGAUCACUUCAGAUUUUUCUCCGAAGUGAUAAUGUUUCGGAGGAAGCAUCCCCAUUUAUUCAGCCGGGAAAAUUUUCUAAGCAAGAAUGAUAUAACUUGGCAUGAAAGCAAUUGGGACAAUCCUGAAAGUAAAUUUCUUGCCUACACGCUUCAUGAUGAUAAUGGAGAAGACAUUUACUUGGCAUUCAAUGCUCAUGAUUAUUUUGUCAAUGUU
This 678-nucleotide unclassified non-coding RNA is filed under the name Hevea brasiliensis (rubber tree). Lineage: Eukaryota; Viridiplantae; Streptophyta; Magnoliopsida; Malpighiales; Euphorbiaceae. The record is from RNAcentral.